Molecule: long non-coding RNA, 6560 nt
Organism: Peromyscus maniculatus bairdii (prairie deer mouse)
Lineage: Eukaryota; Metazoa; Chordata; Mammalia; Rodentia; Cricetidae
Source: RefSeq, a predicted model, not a curated record
UAAUGAUUUGCAAAGGGCCUCAAAGAAAUCAUUGGUAGAUAACUGAGCGCGAAGGGUUGUAUCUUUGGUCCCGAAAAUAAGAAAGUCAAGGAGCUACCAAAAGAAGUUAGUACCUAAUCUUUCUUACCCACCAGCGAAAGUGAAAGACAUUAAAAAGGGACUGCAAGUGAGCAAUCUUACUCAGGAUAAAUGCUGAAUGAACUAUGCUAAAAUACUUCGGAUACUUAAAGUUGGUAACCAUGCAUCACCAACUUACCUUUUCUUCCUUUGUUAGUAUAUAUUAACAAAAUUAUGCAAAACAAUUAUUUCGUUGUGACAUCUUAAUGCAGAUAACCUUAGUUAAUGCAUUAACCAACCCCUUCCAUUACCCACUUUGGUACCCAACCAAUUAAAGUGCAUUCAGUGUCUUCUUUGGCAUAUUUCAAAUGUAUGAUUACUUCAAGAACUUCUGAGUUUUUUUUUUUUGUUCAGCAUCUCAAAUUAUCUGUUUCCCUCAGUUGCAUAACUAAAGCAGUACUGUGUGUUUGUUUUUCAGAUUCUGAAGUUCACUAUGGAAAGAUGGGAAAUUUUGCUUCCUACCUAGGGUCUAUGAAGAGUUAAAAAUGCUGAUAAGCAUAACUUGUGUUGUUUAUUCUCUUUUGCAUUUAAAUUUGAAAACUGAGUUUUGCACAGGAGAUGUAGCUCGGUGGUGAGGAUUCACUUAGCAUACUCAAGGCUCUGGUUGGAUGCCCAGCACCGGUUUGUUUGCAUCAGUGAAAAUACACGAUAUGCCUCUCUUAGAAGUUAAUAAAAUUCAACGGGUAAAUAUAUCUUCCUUUCAAAACACUAAGUACAUUGGUUUUUAAAUUGCCAAAACACAGUGGGAACAGUCAAAGGUGUAUGCAGAUGAUGGCAGUUAAAAAAAGUUUUCCAAGAUUCAUCUUAUGUUGUGAAAAGAAGCCAGGAGAGUGGCAAAAGCCAUUCUUGCAUAAAUUCAGCCAUCUAAAAGCCUCAGAAAUUUUGCUGUUCUUCUGCCUGGAAUGAUGGUAAGUACUAGAAAGGAAACAAAGUGCUUACCAUUUCCUUUCUGCCCUUAGGUUUAACUGUAGGGUUUAGGCUAAUGAAUCUUUAUAAGACAUUUAUAUGAGCAAUAAUCUUAGUUUGAGUUACUGUGGAAGACUGAUUUAUUGAAAGAAAAAUAACAGAUUGUUUAGAAAUAGUGUGAAAAAUGGGACCAAUAUAAUAUAAUGGAUUCUAUAAUUUGUCAUGUUAUUGAGUGCUUUGAAGUGUUUUAGCCUUAAAUAUAAUGGAUACUCAACCAUAAAUGUGUGGUAAAAAAUAAUUGGUAUAUUUUAGAAAGACUGUACAAGUUAAGUCUUGAAUAGGAAAAAAAAAUUUUCAUGUUUUUUUAGAAACAUAAGGCAAGAAAAGGAAAACAUUUUACCAGGGGAAAAAAUGUAUUUUCAGACCUUCUCUUUGAUUAAGGAAAAUGUUUGCCAUAGUGUACAUUUCCCUAAGUGGACACAGAUGGACAUACCAUUUGGAUUUGGCUACUGUGGGUUUGUUGUUUGUUUGUUUGUUUGUAACAAUCUUUUAAUUCAUUCCAGAUAAUAAGAAAACUUAUUUCUCAUAUUUUAGACAUUCUUAACUUUGAAUUGACAAUAGUUAGGAAAUGAAAGUCUCAGGUUAGUACCAUAGCUAUGGUAUUUGUAACAGUUUGACAUAGAUUUUGCUUCUGGAUUUACUAUCUGGCUUAAGGUAAAUGCAGCAAAUGUCUCAGUGUCAAAUUUAAAGUCUAGCUAGGCAGUAGUGGCACACACCUUAAUCCCAGCACAGGAGGCAGCUCAAGGCCAGCCUGGUCUAGAGACGAAAUUCCAGGAUGGCCGGGCUACACAGAGAAACCUUGCCUCUAAACUUAAAUAAAUAAAAGUCUAAAUGACUUCAAAUUAUUUUACCUAGAAAAGCAUCUACCACCUUUUUUCUCUUUUACCAUCUUAUUUCUCAGAUUUUAACAGGUUUGGACAAUUAAAGGGACACAUAGAACAUGUCUUUGCAAGAAGAUAUGCUGAUAAACCUUGUUGGUGAACAUAACCAUUUCAGGAAAUUUAGGUAUGCAGAGUUGCUCAACUGUAACCAAUUAUGUAAGUAGGUAUGUGUUCAUAGGCUUUUGAGAUGCUAUCUGCGGGAACUUGGUGUAAAGAGUAUUCCUCUUGAAUUGUAUCUUUUUUUAUAAACGGCUUUAUUGAAAUGAAAUUCACAUAUGCAGUUCACCUAUUUAAAGGGUGUAGUCCAAUGAGUUUUAGUUUGCUCAGAGUUCCAGCCAUCAACACAUUUAUACAAGAAAACUAUACAAAACCAUGCACUUGUAAGUAUGAGGAAAUAAUUGUGGAAAGAUUUGGAUCUUUCUCUAAAGAGGUAAUAUACAAAGCUUAUUAUUAUGAGUAAAGUUGACAUACAGUGCUUCAAUUACAGUUGAAAUACUGCAAGUAAACAGCAUGUUCCUUGUAUGUAAUUCGUGGGUUUUACUGGAAACACUAUUGUGGAAUAGGUAAGUGACAAUUAUAUGAUGCAACACUGUCAGAGUUGAGAAACCAUUGAGGGUGAUGCACUGUUUACAAUGAUCACUUUUUCUGUAUGAUUAUACUGGGUAUUAAUUUUAGUCUAAUGAGGCUAUUUCAUUUUCAAUGUUCAUGUUUGUGUGCCUUUCUAAAAUUCUGCUUUUUUUUUCCUAUUUCUUGCUGCUUUUGAGAUGGUUUCUGAACAUUUUUUCCCCAGAAGGCAUUGUUUUUCCAUGAAGGCUUACUAAAUUUGUUGUUUUUCAUAUAAACUAAAUUAACAAUAUAGUAAAAAGUCACCAGAUUUCAUGGUUUAAGGAAUGAAUCGUGGAAUAGAUAAAAGUGCAUGCCAAAUAAAGAUAAGAGGUUUGAAUCUGAAAAAUAAAUAAUGGCCGGGCAGUGGUGGCGCACGCCUUUAAUUCUAGCACUCAGGAGGCAGAGCCAGGCGGAUCUCUGUGAGUUCGAGGCCAGCCUAGUCUCCAAAGCGAGUUCCAGGAAAGGCGCAACGCUACACAGAGAAACCCUGUCUUGAAAAACCAAAAUAAAUAAAUAAAUAAUGGGAGGGACUGGCAGAAUUAAAAGGGUUUCUUUAAAGAUGUUAGAAGCAACAACCUAUUUAUUUUUAAAGGUUUAUAUGUAUGGAUGUUUUGCUUUCAUGUAUGUGCUUGCUGCCCAUAGAGGUCAGAAGGCAUCAUAUUUCCCUUGGAACUAGAGAAAUAGAUGGUUCUGAGCCACCAUGUGAGUGAUGGGAACUGACCCUGAUCUGCAAAAAUAGCAAGUGCCACUGAACCUUCUCUAUCUCACAACUUAUUUAAUCCCUCUCUUAGAAGAUAAAGUCCCAUCCUAAUUCAUUGCACAGUGGUCACCUACUUCCUAAAGGAAUCUGAGGACAUUGAGCUCCCACUCAGCUGAGAAAACCAGCCAAGGAGACGAUCUCUGAAAUACUUCUGCAAUCAUUUUCCUGCAUAAUGCUUAAUGGUUUGGCCAUUGGGCCUGAUGGCACUAACCUGUAAUCCUAGGACCCUGGAGGUAGAAAUGGGGAAACUGACUUGGAGCCCAGCCUAUACUGCCUAGGGAAUUCCAAGCCAUCGUGAGUUACAUGAUCCAAUACAGGUGUCUGGAACAUGUGGGUGUGGCUGUAUCUAGUGGACCUGGUACAUGCAUACUACAAGCUUGCCAAAAACACGGAGAAAGAAGAGCAAUAUUAGAGUAUAUUCAAUUCAAGGAGCAUCAUGGAGACAGUACAUGGCAAUACUCUGCUCAGUAAAUAAGCUCGGAGUUGUUUCUAAUGUAAGAAUAUCUUAGCAUCCUAAGGUUACAUUCUCAACAGAAAACAAAUAUUGACAUAUUUAGCUAUCAUUUUCAGUACUUGAUACAGGAAUUACCAUAGUUUUGAAAUGUAAGCUCAAAUCCAGACCAUGCAGGUAACUGAGCAGGUAAACCUGAGUUUGAAUCCCAGAACCCACUGUACAAGGACCUCAUGAAAGUUGUCCUCUGACCAUGUGUCUGCCAACCUGAACUCGCGCACAUAUACAUUAUACACUAACAAGUAAAAACAAGUCUGCCUGGCAGUAUCUGUUAACAAGGAAAGGAGGUGAGAAUACAACUGAUUGGUUCAACCUAAAGUCCACUACUCAAUCAGGAGGACACAAAAAGAAAAUUGCAUUCUUGAGUAUUUCCACUCUCUGCAUAUAACCCAAAGAGGUGCAGCAACAAUUGUCAAACAGACCUGGUGACAAAAGGCAUACCAUCUGGAUGGCUUCAUAAACAGCAGGACUUGGGAAGUUGGGGGCUUAGAGCUAACUUAUAGAUACUAAAUCCAUGUCUCAGAAAAUAAAUCCUGGUUGCUGGGAUUAAAGUGUAAUCAUCCAACUCUACUCCAAGAAAAAUAGUUGCAAAAUUUUGGAGCUUGUGCUUAUACCUCACAAUUCAACAGUUCUUAAUCCCUCCAUACACAAAUAUGUUUUCAUAUGCUUGUCCUGAAGGAAAAGCAAUUUAGGCAGAAACAUUCUUUGGACAAGGAAAAUAAUAAAGAUUUCUAAAACUGAGUGCCUUGUGAUCCUGGUGGCAACAGAGGUCAUAAGAGGUUGUUAGAUUCUCUGGAACUGGAGUUCUGGAUGGUUGUAAGCCCCCAGGUGAGUGCUGGGAACUAAAUGGUGGUACGCAAGAGUAACGUGUUCUCUUAACUUCCUAGCUCCAAAUUAAUUUUUAAAUUUUUUUGGGGGGGUGGGUUUCUCUGUGUAGCUUUGGAGCUUUUCCUGGAACUCACUCUGUAGCCCAGGCUGGCCUUGAACUCACAGAGAUCCACCUUCCUCUGCCUCCCGAGUGCUGGGAUUAAAGGCUUGCGCCACCACUGGCUAAUUUUUAAAAUUUUUAAUGAGGUCCGGAGGAAUAGUGUAAUGAUACUAUGCUUGUCCAAGGCUCUGGGUUUGAUCUUCAAAUGGCUACAUCCACUGAUUGGCCUUUUAUUCACAGAGAUCUGCCUGCUUCUGCUUCCCAAGUGCUGGAAUUAAAGCAUGUGCCACCAUGCCCAGUCCUGAUCUAUGUUCCUAUUAUCUAAUAAGGUUUUCUAUCAAAGCCCCAGCAAUAGAAAGGAUAUUUAAGGAUCUGCCUUUACACAUUCUAGCAUUAAAGCUCAACUAAUUGUGUAAGUAGGCGGUUCUGUGAUCAAAUUCUACAUAAUCUUUGCCUCUUACUUGUCCACUUACAUUUGUGAACGAAACUGUAUUGAGGAGUUGAGGCUGUAGCUCAGUUGGUAGUGUUUGCCUAGUAUGCACAAAGUCCUGUAUUUGGUCCCACCACUGCAAUAAACAGGCAUACCUGUAAUUCCAGCACUCAGGAGGCAAAGGCAGGAGAAUCAGAAGUUCAAGGUCUUCCUCGCCUAUUUAGUGAACUCAGAGGCUAGCCUGAGAUUCUGCUCUUUUUUUUUUUUUUAAGCUUUGCAAUAAAAUGUAUCACUAAGUUGUAAAUUUCCUUUAAAAUUGGGAACUAAACCAUUUCACAUUCCCUUUUGGGCUCAAAAUACGUUUUCUGUUUCUUCAGGAAAUAUUCAUUGGGUAUCCACUAGGUGUCAGAUAAUACAAAGAUAGAGAUUCUGGAGACAAUAUAAACAGAUAUCCCAUGAGAACCAAACAGCCUUACAAAGAGAUAAAAAUAGAUCUGCAGGCCAAAAGAAAGUUGUAUAAGUACUAUACUGUCAAUGGUAGAACUAUUAAUUUUAUACUGUGUGAUCAUCAAUAUCAAACCAAAUGCAUGCUGGCCUAGUUUAUGUAAAAAGCCUUAAGGACUAAAGAAGUCAGGUGACGUGACAGCACUAUCAGUAGGAAGUUGAGAAUAAUAAACUCAAGAUAAGCUUCCAUGCAGGAUGCUAGGAGUAUAACCUACAGUCUUCUAAGCCAACCACUUUUUCUUUAUUUGGUUCUGUUUUUGUUGCUUGCUUGGGAGCCUGAGGCUCUGACCUCUCUACUGUUAAAUUUAUCUUAAUUCCCAUCUGUCUUUCCUAGCUCUUGCUACUAAUUUGUCCAUUCCCUUAUUAAUGCAAACUUUAAUCUUCAAUAGAUUUUCUGCUACCAGGGAAGUAAAAAGGAAAAUUUUCAAAGAUAUCUCCCAUCAGUGAUGAAAUCUCUACCACUGCAAAGUUACACAGAGUAGUGCUGCACUGCGCCUGUCCUUGAACAAAAUGAGGAGCACUGAUAGACUAUGGAGCUCCUUUUUCUGUUUUUUGUUUGUUUGUUUAAUCUUAAUUUUUAAAUUGACAUUAGGUUUUACGCUCUUGCUAUAUGGUUCUGUAAAUUUUCACAAGUAACAGUCAUGAAAACACUACACUCAAGUUCCGGAGCAGCUUCACCCCCACAGCAGUCUCGUGUCACCUCAUAAUUUUUAUAGUUAAAGUCAUUUUUUCAAAAAGCCAUGUUUGAACGUUCCAUGUAUGUUUAUCCAUUAUUUUUAUUUUUGUUGGGUUUUUUUUUGGGGGGGGGGGUUGUUUUUGUUUUUGUUUUUUUUUGGUUGUUUUGUUUUUGUUUUUGU